GACGAACGCUGGCGGCGCGCUUAACACAUGCAAGUUGAACGGAAAGGCCUGCUUUCCCUUGUGGAUUGCGGGUACUCGAGUGGCGAACGGGUGAGUAACACGUGAGUGAUCUGCCCCCAACUUGGGUAUAAGCCUGGGAAACUGGGUCUAAUUCCCGAUAGGACUGCAGGGUGGUGCCUGUGGUGGAAAACGAUUUUCUAGUGGUUGGGGAUGAGCUCGCGGCCUAUCAGCUUGUUGGUGGGGUAAUGGCCUACCAAGGCGGCGACGGGUAGCCGGCCUGGGAGGGUGGACGGCCACAUUGGGACUGAGAUACGGCCCAGACUCCUACGGGAGGCAGCAGUGGGGAAUAUUGCACAAUGGGCGGAAGCCUGAUGCAGCGACGCCGCGUGGGGGAUGACGGCCUUCGGGUUGUAAACUCCUUUCGACCGCGAGGAAGCCACCUGGUUGGAAGGGUGGUGACGGUAGUGGUAGAAGAAGCACCGGCUAACUACGUG
RNAcentral lists this ribosomal RNA (494 nucleotides) under uncultured bacterium. RNAcentral describes it as "partial 16S ribosomal RNA". It matches the Rfam family "Bacterial small subunit ribosomal RNA", at positions 28 to 507 of the family's 1533-position model. The record is from RNAcentral.